CAAUUAUUACUUAAUAUACACAUGCAAGUCUCCGCACCCCUGUGAAAACGCCCUUAAAUCCCCACUAGGGAUAAGGAGCUGGUAUCAGGCACAAUAUUUAGCCCAAAACACCUAGCUAUGCCACACCCACACGGGAAUUCAGCAGUGAUUAACAUUGAAAAUAAGCGACAGCUUGACUCAGUUAAAGUAAAAAGAGCCGGCAAAUCUGGUGCCAGCCGCCGCGGUUACACCACGUGGCUCAAAUUGACCCCCCUUCGGCGUAAAGCGUGAUUAAAGUUUUUACUAAAUUAUAGCUGAACUAAAACUAAGCUGUGACACGCUUGUAUUUAGGAAAAUCAAAAACGAAAGUUACUGUAAUUAAAACAACUUGAACCCACGACAGUUGAGACACAAACUGGGAUUAGAUACCCCACUAUGCUCAACCGUAAACUUUAAAUUACACCAAUAUCGCCCGGGAACUACGAGCAAAGCUUAAAACCCAAAGGACUUGACGGUACCCCACAUCCCCCUAGAGGAGCCUGUCCUGUAAUCGACAACCCCCGUUCAACCUCACCAUUUUUAGCCUAUCAGCCUGUAUACCUCCGUCGUCAGCUUACCACGUGAGCGACCCUAAGUGAGCCUAAUGCCCACACGCCAACACGUCAGGUCAAGGUGCAGCAAAUAAAAUGGGAAGAGAUGGGCUACACUCUCUACUGUAGAAAAUACGAAAGACUAUUUAUGAAACCUAGUCAGAAGGCGGAUUUAGUAGUAAAAAGAGACAAGAGCGCUCUUUUUAACACGGCACUGGGGUGUGUACACACCGCCCGUCACCCUCUUCAAAGCUAACAGAAAGUCCAUAACACACCUAAGCACAAUAGAAGAGGCAAGUCGUAACAUGGUAAGUAUACCGGAAGGUGUGCUUGGAAACAAAAUAUAGCUUAACCAAAGCAUCUUUACACCGAGAAAAUAUCUGUUAAACCCGGAUUAUUUUGAGCUAAUAAUCUAGCCCCCAAUAUCAAAUGAAACCAUUGACUUUAUAAUAUAAACUAAAACAUUUUAUAAACUUAGUAAAGGCGAUUAAAAAAUUGAUAGGAGCAAUAAAAAAGGUACCGCAAGGGAAA
RNAcentral lists this non-coding RNA (1100 nucleotides) under Tepuihyla edelcae (white-lipped bog-frog). RNAcentral describes it as "partial 12S ribosomal RNA". The stretch from base 1 to 915 matches the Rfam family "Bacterial small subunit ribosomal RNA". Lineage: Eukaryota; Metazoa; Chordata; Amphibia; Anura; Hylidae. The record is from RNAcentral.